GUGAUGACCUUUUUAUUUACAGUCUAUGAUGAUGACGUGUUCGUUCCAUGAUGUCCUUUGAUGUGUGUUUAGGCGGGAACAGCCGGCUGGUGUCUCUGUGUUCUGAACGGCUGUGGUCGUCUGUCGUGUCCAUGGUCGUGUCCGGUCGUGUCCCAUAAUGCAGAACAAAGCAGUCUGAGCGCUCCAUCCACCUGGUCUCCUGCACUGUGUGGUAGAGAGAGGUUCCUCUUGGUCUGGAUAAAGGGCUGCUGAUCUUCACAUCCUGAAACUACCUGAACACAUGAAGAAUCAGCUAACACAACUGGUGGCAAUGGUCAACUUAAUUCCAGGGAGGAUGACAGAUGAAUGUCCAUCGGAAGUACCUGAAGGCAUUCCAAUUUCCCUUUGGCCCACUGGAGGAGGUUUACUGACUCUAAAAUCUAAUAUAAUUUGUGCUUCAGACGCCAUUCAAAUAUCAAAAUUAUCUAUGUUUUUAAGGACAUUUCUACUAAAACUUCUUGUUUUUUCUGCCUUUUGUACCAUUAAAAUAUUGAACUUUCUUAAUGUUAAAUUUUCUUUCAAAUCUUCAAAUCUUUGCACUUUGCAACAUACUUCAUAUACUUAUGUAUGUUUAUGUCUCUACAUCUACAUCUGUCUAUAGAUAUUAUACAAUUGUUCAGAAAUCUUCCAAACAAAUAAGGAUACUUUUUUUUUAGCA
Molecule: long non-coding RNA, 697 nt
Organism: Notolabrus celidotus (New Zealand spotty)
Lineage: Eukaryota; Metazoa; Chordata; Actinopteri; Labriformes; Labridae
Exons: 3
Source: RefSeq, a predicted model, not a curated record